UCUCCGUUGGUGAACCAGCGGAGGGAUCAUUGCUGGAACAAACGCCCUCACGGGUGCUACCCAGAAACCCUUUGUGAAUCAUACCUAAAAAUGUUGCCUCGGCAUGGUUGGCUUCUUCUAGAAGUCCCUUUUUUCGGAGAGGAGCAGACCGGCCGGCGGCCCUAUAAACUCUUUGUUUUUGUAAAUCUUCUGAGUAAAACAACUAAAAAUGAAUCAAAACUUUCAACAACGGAUCUCUUGGUUCUGGCAUCGAUGAAGAACGCAGC
This 266-nucleotide unclassified non-coding RNA is filed under the name uncultured fungus. RNAcentral describes it as "sequence contains ITS1, 5.8S rRNA gene". The stretch from base 218 to 266 matches the Rfam family "5.8S ribosomal RNA", at positions 1 to 49 of the family's 154-position model. Lineage: Eukaryota; Fungi. The record is from RNAcentral.